GAAAAAAGGUCGAAGGAAUAGAAGGAUCUAUAUGCAAUAUUCCCUCUGAUUGUCCGCCGCCGCAUUUCCGAAGACCACUCCGGCGAUGGCUAUGCCACCGCGCAGCUCUGGGCCGUUCCGAACAAGGAAGGGGGCGAAAACGCGGCCGAGGAAGGCGAAAGCGGCGGCGCAGCUGGUAUGCCAUGCCAACUGUCAUGAUAUAGUAAGCAAAUAGAGGCCUUGAGAUCCCAGAGAUUGCUGCUGCUGUGGAGCCCACCAGAACCUUUCCUGGCACCAGUUUAAAAGUUCCGAGGAAUAUCCUGUUGAAAGCAGACGUUCUCUUUCUGAUCCCUUGCUUCAAUUGCUUUGAGCGGCUUUUGCUUGGCUGAAGGUCUGAAGAUCCGGCGCGGCGUUUGAGAGAUAUCUGAAAUUGCAGAUAAAAACAUCAGCUGGAGCGACAUCACGUGAUCUUCUAGUUACUGCCAAUGCUCCAAUAUAGAUGGUCAAUGAGUAUGAACAGAAGGUUGCAAUCUGUAACAUUCCCAAACCUAGUCCUUUUGUAAUUGCCUCUUUCUUGCCUAGCUUGUAUUGCUUGUCCAUGCAUUUGAUGAAGGAUUUCAUCGCCGAGUUUUCUCCAACAAAUGAGAAGACGGUCUUGAUAUGUGAAAUAGUCUGUGCAUAGAUUGUAUUGAUAUGCUAAAAAAUUAGUAUGGCACUAACAAAUUUAAUAUGGCAGAGGCUUAGCUCUAACAAGGCAUGCAUUUACGUAGUUACCUGUUCUACAACUGAGGUUGUUUCAGAGACCAAAGCUAUCCUUGUCGUCGACAUGCCAACCAUCAUUUUCGCAUAUGUUGCUCCAACCACGAGGAGCAUCGGAACUACCAAAAAUGCCAUCAUACCCACCUCCCAGCAACACACAAAGGCAAUAAUGACAGCAACUAAGAAUGUGGAGAAGUUGGACAUAAAGUGACCCAUCUGAAGGGAAAAAAGCCAUGAUAGUCGCAGUGGUUAAGUCAGUGUCAAAAGCUCCGAUAUCUUGACUGAGCACUGAUGUCAGAUAUGCCAUCUGCAUGCCUGUCAUUUGUCUUUGACUUGUAUACAUCCAGCACGCGAUUUCUGUGGCAGGAGCAUUGUGACAAAAAAGCGAGGAUCAGGGGAAUGACCAGGAAGGAGAGCAUCGCGACUUCCCAGCAGCUGGCAAAUGCAAUUAUCAUGCCAGCAAAGAAAGUGGAGAAGCUUGCGACGAAAUGACCGAGCUGCAGAAAAUUGAUCUCAGAUGCAACUUCUCCACAGAACUUUAGAAAUCAUACAGUUAAUGUUCGUGGUCAAGUCUGUGUCGAAGGCCCCAACCUCUUGAUUGAGAACUGAUCUCAGAUAUUCCAGCCGCAUGCGCGCUAACUGCCUCUCACUCGAGUAUAUCCAGCAGGAGAUCUCUGCAGCCAGGUUAUCAGGGGAAAUAUUUGAGCCCUACAAACCGGAAAGGAGGGAGUACAACCCAAGUUCAGGAGGGUAAUAUGUGCAUGCAUACUUACCUUGUACAAUGCAUGGACCAUGGCCUCCUGAUCAUUUAUGUUGGUUCCAAAGGCAUCAAGCGCUUUCCCGAGAAGGAGAUAUCCGAUCGGGAAUGCCAUGCCAUGGAUGGCAGACCCGACGGUUCCCAAGGCCAUGAGGAGCCAGUCCACCUUAUCGGCGUAGCAGAGCAGCCCGAAGAACGGGAAUGGCUUCUCAUCAGCACUAGCUGCUGGGAUGGUGCUCCUCCUGUCAUCCGUGUCAUCAUGCUGAGAUGAUGAAAUGGAGUGGUCUUCAUCAUAGGCUGUGGCCAUUGUUUCCGGUGGUCUUGGUUGCGCUUUUGCAGCAGGGAACCAUGGAAGAGGAGGUGCAUAGAUGGUAUGGUAUUAUAGGCGUAGGUGUUGCAUACCGGGGUGCAUGUUUACAUGUAGAUGCUGACAAACAUGUUUCCAAAAAUGGUGUGAAACAAUAACCGUAGGUACUCCCAAGGUUGAAAACAAACUAUGCCGAGUUGGUCAAGGUAUACGUUAGCAUAUUACAUCGAUUUUAUGUAGCGGUGUUUUGCUUUAAUUUUGACAAGGCUCAGCGUGCUGCCAGGUUCAUUUUUCGCUGGAGAAUGAACGGCUUGAAAUAACAUGGCUGUUGGUUGUGUUGGAAUAGAGAAAGUAUGUGAUACGUUAAUGA
Molecule: long non-coding RNA, 2172 nt
Organism: Hordeum vulgare subsp. vulgare (domesticated barley)
Lineage: Eukaryota; Viridiplantae; Streptophyta; Magnoliopsida; Poales; Poaceae
Exons: 8
Source: RefSeq, a predicted model, not a curated record